This is a non-coding RNA of Cavia porcellus (domestic guinea pig), 572 nucleotides long. The record is from the annotation of a RefSeq genome assembly. NCBI's taxonomy places the organism in Eukaryota, Metazoa, Chordata, Mammalia, Rodentia, Caviidae.
CCCAGCCCUGGAUGCCCAGCUGUUCCCACUUGGUGAUGGGCACUGAGCACAGACGGCUUACCAUGGAGCUGGCGCUGAACUGGGUUUUGCUUUUUGCAAUUUUGAAAGGUGUCCUGUGUGUGGUGCAGCUGGUGGAGUCCGGAGGAGGCUUGGUACAACCUGGAGGCUCCCUGAGACUCUCCUGCAUGGCCUCAGGAUUCACCUUCAGUAACUACUGGAUGAGCUGGAUCCGCCAGGCUCCAGGGAAGGGGCUGGAGUGGAUCGCAGGCAUCGAUAGCAGUAGUAGUUACAUACAAUACGCAUACUCUGUAAAGGGCCGAUUCACCAUCUCCAGGGACAACGGCAAGAACACGCUGUACCUGCAGAUGAGCGGCCUGAGAGCCCAGGAUUCCGCUGCGUAUUACUGUGCUAGAGACACAAGUGUGAGAUCUUGCAGCUCUCUCCUCUCUUUGGCCACCUCAGGAAACCUGGACACCAAGCUCAGUCCAGCACCAUUAGGAGCCCUGAACUCAGGAGAGGAGGAAGAGAAGCAGCUGGCCUGGAUUCAGGGCAGUUUCCAGGAACCACGUUGA